CCCAGUGCUGGAAUUGGCAGACACGCUGCACUCAAAAUGCAGUGCCGUCAGGCUUGCCGGUUCGAGUCCGGCCAUCGGUA
This 80-nucleotide transfer RNA is filed under the name compost metagenome. RNAcentral's name for it is "tRNA-Leu". The record is from RNAcentral.